GUGCCAGCGCCGCGGUAAUACCGGCAGCCCGAGUGAUGGCCGAUCUUAUUGGGCCUAAAGCGUCCGUAGCCGGCCGGACAAGUCCGUUGGGAAAUCCACUCGCCCAACGAGUGGGCGUCCGACGGAAACUGCACAGCUUGGGACCGGAAGGCGCGACGGGUACGUCCGGGGUAGGAGUGAAAUCCCGUAAUCCUGGACGGACCGCCGAUGGCGAAAGCACGUCGCGAAGACGGAUCCGACAGUGAGGGACGAAAGCUAGGGUCUCGAACCGGAUUAGAAACCCAGUAGUCC
RNAcentral lists this ribosomal RNA (291 nucleotides) under uncultured bacterium. RNAcentral's name for it is "partial 16S ribosomal RNA". It matches the Rfam family "Archaeal small subunit ribosomal RNA", at positions 455 to 747 of the family's 1478-position model. The record is from RNAcentral.